Capra hircus (goat) is the source of this 580-nucleotide long non-coding RNA. RefSeq lists it as uncharacterized. The transcript is spliced from 3 exons. Lineage: Eukaryota; Metazoa; Chordata; Mammalia; Artiodactyla; Bovidae. The record is from RefSeq and is a predicted model, not a curated record.
CUUGUGAUGUUUUCUGGCUCUGGUAGCUCCCGGGAAGUUGAGCUGUGUUUAGCUCCUGGAUUUUGCAGAGCUGGCACUUUAGACGAAGAGGUCACUUAACUCCUGAAGCGAAGCACAAAAGGCGGGAGGCGGGGGAGGACUGGAGGCUCUCCAGAUCCGAGCAUUGUCCGUGCGAGGAUCGCGCUGGCUUGCGGGGCGCACUCUUGUCUACCGCCUCCUGAGGUGGAGCUCCGGAUGAGUGGACUUAAAGGGGCUGCUUUCCGCCUCCAGCCCGGGCACCUCCACUUUGUCCUCGAAGGAACCGGGAACCUGUCUAAUCACACUUGAAAAAUAAAAAGCAGAACCCCUCUGAGUUCCGGUCAGCCACGAGCUCCCAGAGACCGAAGGCGCGCGCUCGGCCGAGAUCGCUGGGAAAGGGGUGCUUCGGACUCGUGAGCGCGCGCACGCACGCGUGUCUGUCCAUCCAGUCCAUCUGUGCACUUCCGCUCUGCUGCUGCUACUGCUGCUGCUAAGUCGCUUCAGUCAUGUCGAACUCUGUGCGACCCCAGAGACAGGAGCCCACCAGGCUCCCCUGUACCUG